This 484-nucleotide ribosomal RNA is filed under the name uncultured Hydrogenophaga sp. Its description in RNAcentral is "bacterial SSU rRNA". It matches the Rfam family "Bacterial small subunit ribosomal RNA", at positions 897 to 1382 of the family's 1533-position model. Lineage: Bacteria; Pseudomonadati; Pseudomonadota; Betaproteobacteria; Burkholderiales; Comamonadaceae. The record is from RNAcentral.
AAACUCAAAGGAAUUGACGGGGGCCCGCACAAGCGGUGGAGCAUGUGGUUUAAUUCGAUGCAACGCGAAGAACCUUACCUGGUCUUGACAUCCCGGGAAUUUCCCUUGAAAGAGGGAAGUGCCUCGCAAGAGGAGCCGUAACACAGGUGCUGCAUGGCUGUCGUCAGCUCGUGUCGUGAGAUGUUGGGUUAAGUCCCGCAACGAGCGCAACCCUUGUCAUUAGUUGCUACGAAAGGGCACUCUAAUGAGACUGCCGGUGACAAACCGGAGGAAGGUGGGGAUGACGUCAAGUCCUCAUGGCCCUUAUAGGUGGGGCUACACACGUCAUACAAUGGCUGGUACAAAGGGUUGCCAACCCGCGAGGGGGAGCCAAUCCCAUAAAGCCAGUCGUAGUCCGGAUCGCAGUCUGCAACUCGACUGCGUGAAGUCGGAAUCGCUAGUAAUCGCAGGUCAGCAUACUGCGGUGAAUACGUUCCCGGGUCUU